RNAcentral lists this unclassified non-coding RNA (148 nucleotides) under soil metagenome. RNAcentral describes it as "partial internal transcribed spacer 1". The record is from RNAcentral.
CCGAGUUUACGACUUCCCAAACCCCUGUGAACAUACCACUUGUUGCCUCGGCGGAUCAGCCCGCUCCCGGUAAAACGGGACGGCCCGCCAGAGGACCCCUAAACUCUGUUUCUAUAUGUAACUUCUGAGUAAAACCAUAAAUAAAUCA